GUGCUCGCUUCGGUAGCACAUAUACUAAAAUUGGAACAAUACAGAGAUUAACAUGGCCCCUGUGCAAGGAUGACAUGCAAAUUUGUGAAGUGUUCCAUAUUUUU
Ochotona princeps (American pika) is the source of this 104-nucleotide small nuclear RNA. The record is from RefSeq and is a predicted model, not a curated record. NCBI's taxonomy places the organism in Eukaryota, Metazoa, Chordata, Mammalia, Lagomorpha, Ochotonidae.